GACGAACGCUGGCGGCGUGCUUAACACAUGCAAGUCGAACGGUAAGGCCCUUCGGGGUACACGAGUGGCGAACGGGUGAGUAACACGUGGGUGAUCUGCCCUGCACUUCGGGAUAAGCCUGGGAAACUGGGUCUAAUACCGGAUAGGACCACUGCCUGCAUGGGUGGUGGUGGGAAGCUUUUGCGGUGUGGGAUGGGCCCGGGGCCUAUGAGCUUGUUGGUGGGGUGAUGGCCUACGAAGGCGACGACGGGGAGCCGGCCUGGAAGGGGGACCGGCCACACUGGGACUGAGAUACGGCCCGGACUCCUACGGGAGGCAGCAGUGGGGAAUAUUGCACAAUGGGCGCAAGCCUGAUGCAGCGACGCCGCGUGAGGGAUGACGGCCUUCGGGUUGUAAACCUCUUUCAGCACCGACGAAGCGCAAGUGACGGUAGGUGCAGAAGAAGGACCGGCCAACUACGUGCCAGCAGCCGCCGUAA
Molecule: ribosomal RNA, 478 nt
Filed under: uncultured bacterium
Lineage: Bacteria
Description: partial 16S ribosomal RNA
Rfam family: Bacterial small subunit ribosomal RNA
Source: RNAcentral